Molecule: unclassified non-coding RNA, 324 nt
Filed under: fungal sp.
Lineage: Eukaryota; Fungi
Description: partial internal transcribed spacer region
Rfam family: Eukaryotic small subunit ribosomal RNA (bases 1-46)
Source: RNAcentral
AAGUCGUAACAAGGUUUCCGUAGGUGAACCUGCGGAAGGAUCAUUAUUGAAUAAACUUGGUGGAUUGUUGCUGGCUCCUUUCAUGAGCAAGUGCACGUCUGUCAUUUUUAUCUUUCCAACAUGUGCACUAUGCAUAGAUCUGAGUAUUUAUUUGACCAAAGUCAUCUUUGGUUUUUUGGAAAUUGCCAUUGCAAUAAUGGCUUUUUCUGUAUUCAGAUUCUAUGAAUUUUAUAUACUCCAAUGUAUGUUUAUGAAUGCUAUUGUGAAGGGCUUUUAUAGCCUAUUAAAUUUAUACAACUUUCAGCAACGGAUCUCUUGGUUCUG